UGUCAUUUUGCUUAAUAUUUAUCUGUAAAUAUACAAAACACUGAAAAUUAUUUACCAUUUUUCAAUCUUCAAUAUAUAUAAUUUUUAAAAUGCCAAAUAAAUAAGUAGGCCUAUAAUCUUAAAGAAGUGUGACUGAAAUUGUGUGCUCAGGACAUAUGUAGCAGUUUUCACUGGCUUAUGAAUGUGUAUCACCAGUUCCACACACAUUGUCAGCUUAUAGCAUCUGCUUUUAUGAUUAACACUGACUUUUCAUUUUUUUCUAUUUGUGCUAAGUGUGUUUGUUGACAAUCACCUCCAUGAAAUUGCAUGUGCUCUGAUAAAUAAAAUUGAAAAAUGGAACUGAACUGCACUCGAAUGGAGCCAAGUGUGGCUUCCGGGGGGAAAACUGACCUUCAAAAGCGCCUGUAGGUCAAAAAGUAACGUGCAGACUAACAGCAAAAAGACCUGAGCUGUGUUGUUUUAUUUUCUGUAAAGUUAGCAGCUUUCAUUUCACAACACGCUGAUUUAAGGGGCUAUUGAGCCUUAGAGAUACUGCAAAAACACUGAGCAAGUACUUCCACAUGGUGUUCAGAGAUACAGCCUCAGUUAUUGAUCAAAGAACGCCGAUUGAUCCACGAAAAAUAGAAAUACAGCUUCUGUGAGUUCAGAAAACCUACGUUUAACUUUAAGAUACCUACACUGCUGUUUGUGGUAAUGGCUUAUUGAAUGGCGUAUUGAUCAGUGGUGGUUAUCUGACUGAAGGGCAGCACUGUGCACAGUUGUGUAAACUUCAUAACCAUAAUCCUCCUGCUCUCUCAGUGCUCGACAUAUUUCCUCAGGUGAGAAAUAUCGAGUGACCCGCAGAGAUUUUUGUCCUGCAAAUAUCUCUGGUGCCAGUAGAUAAGAGGGUGGCUGCACAGCAACGUCUGUAAAACAAGACAGUAAAAAUGUCUGCAGGUGGUAUUGCACCGGGGAAAAGAAAUACUAGCUUUGUCCGACGUUCAGCUCGGGCAAAAGCUGUGGCCUCGAGGUGUUUUUCGUCGCUAAGUGCACAAGUGUUAUAUUUAAAUCAACAUUUAGCUCCAACCAGAACAUCAAAGCGCGAGAGUGGGCAAUUUCAAGUUGUUUCUCAAUCUGGUGUUGCAAAUUGGAGCCACUAUCGAGCCACUUGCUCCGUCGACGUCCCUCAAAAAUCAAAUUUACAUGGAACCCCAGCUUCCAGUGCUUGAAAUUGCUUUCUGCAGCAUGCCUAAUCACUGAAAAAGGGGAUGAUCCGACUGAGUGUAUGCGAUUCGUGUGGGAGAAGGAAAUUUGGAUCAACUUUACACUGGAGCUGUGUUGGUUAAUCUACUAAACAUCAAAGGGGAGAAAGGGGAAGGGGAGGAAGGGCAAGUGGGAAAAUUUAUCGCGUGGGCUUGAUUGGAAAUCGAGGGAGACUGUGGUCCCCCUGUAAUCAUCUGUAAUCUCCUGUAGGUUGUAUGUGGCCUUAGAGGAGCUGAGAAGGAGCCCAUUACCCAUCUCCUGCCGAUGGGAGGCCCUGAUAGCACAGUGUUGGAGGACAACCGGAAAUGAAGAAGCAGAGACCUGGGAAAUUUUAUAUUUUCACCCUAAAAAAAGAACAUCUUACCUGAGAAGCCAUUUAAUUCUUUAACAGCCAUGAAAUCAGAUCCCUGGUUCACAUCCCAGCCUUCUAAGGAUCUUUCUGCAUGGAGUUUGCAUGUUCUUCCUGUGCAUGCGUGGAUUUUCUCCAGCCCUGUGAUAGACUGGUGACCUGUCCAGAUGUCUCCCCUGCCUUUACCCUCAGUCAGUCAGAUAGGCUCCAACCCCCUGCAACCCUAAUGAGGAUUAAGCGGCGUAUAGAUGAUGGAUGGAUGGAUGUGUUUUCAGACCUGCCAUGAAAUUCGCACUCAAGACAAAUGUCAGCAGAUUAUCAGGACGUGAUGAAAUCCACUCACCAUCUACAUGCAGCGUCUAUUAAUAGACACCAAACACCUACACAGAGGAGAACAGUCCUCAGAGCUUCGACUACAGACCUUACAGCUGGAUCCAGCCAAUGCCAGCAAUUACCCAGCAGUCCCUUCCCGCUGCCAGCACGUCUCAUCUUCACCAAUUAGCGUAGAGGGUGAUAUUCUACAUGCUGCUUUGAUCAAACACUGCCAGGCUGCAGAGGCAGCAAAAUACAGCUGAGAAGCCCCUAAUGAAAGAAAAUGAGACGUUAUUAAUGCUUGAUAAUGUUAAUCAGCAAAUCAGCGAGCGCUGUCUCAGUCAGCGGUGCCACUGGAGUCCCACAGGGCCACCUCAGCUGGAGGUAAGAAAACAUUUGAGAAGCUUUAAUGACUGCCAACGCUCGUGUUUAUCCGUCCCGCAUAUGAACGCUGGUGCAGCAGCAGGAAAAAUAGACGGACACAAUCACCCUCCAAGUCUGACACGCUGUAUUAAAGCACCUAUUUAUUUAGGGUUCUGUGGGCUUUUUAUUUUGACAGAAAGUCCAAUCAAAGAACCCAGAAUACACAACUGUAGCUGGGAAAGCCAAUUACGCUGCCCAGUGUGCAACUCAUGGCAUUGAUGUUACCAUUCCACUUUUUGUUGACGUGACAAUCAGGCAUGUGGGUGAGGCGGCUGCUGUCAAUACUCAUCCCACUUACAUGUGAAAUCCAAUUUUUGUGGCUCCUUCUUCGCUGGCGGAGCUACAAUAGCAACCCAGUUUGUCAGCGGCUUCAUCUAUAGCAGUGUGGGGUCACUCAAUAAAGAAGAUCAAACAAGA
Acanthochromis polyacanthus (spiny chromis) is the source of this 2743-nucleotide long non-coding RNA. RefSeq lists it as uncharacterized. The transcript is spliced from 6 exons. The record is from RefSeq and is a predicted model, not a curated record. NCBI's taxonomy places the organism in Eukaryota, Metazoa, Chordata, Actinopteri, Pomacentridae.